This 503-nucleotide ribosomal RNA is filed under the name Klebsiella pneumoniae. Its description in RNAcentral is "partial 23S ribosomal RNA". It matches the Rfam family "Bacterial large subunit ribosomal RNA", at positions 357 to 867 of the family's 2925-position model. The record is from RNAcentral. Lineage: Bacteria; Pseudomonadati; Pseudomonadota; Gammaproteobacteria; Enterobacterales; Enterobacteriaceae.
GUACAGGGUGAUAGUCCCGUACACCAAAAUGCACAGGCUGUGAACUCGAAGAGUAGGGCGGGACACGUGGUAUCCUGUCUGAAUAUGGGGGGACCAUCCUCCAAGGCUAAAUACUCCUGACUGACCGAUAGUGAACCAGUACCGUGAGGGAAAGGCGAAAAGAACCCCGGCGAGGGGAGUGAAAAAGAACCUGAAACCGUGUACGUACAAGCAGUGGGAGCACCUUCGGGUGUGACUGCGUACCUUUUGUAUAAUGGGUCAGCGACUUAUAUUCUGUAGCAAGGUUAACCGUAUAGGGGAGCCGCAGGGAAACCGAGUCUUAACUGGGCGUUAAGUUGCAGGGUAUAGACCCGAAACCCGGUGAUCUAGCCAUGGGCAGGUUGAAGGUUGGGUAACACUAACUGGAGGACCGAACCGACUAAUGUUGAAAAAUUAGCGGAUGACUUGUGGCUGGGGGUGAAAGGCCAAUCAAACCGGGAGAUAGCUGGUUCUCCCCGAAAGCU